GACGAACGCUGGCGGCGUGCUUAACACAUGCAAGUCGAACGGAAAGGCCCUGCUUUUGUGGGGUGCUCGAGUGGCGAACGGGUGAGUAACACGUGAGUAACCUGCCCUUGACUUUGGGAUAACUUCAGGAAACUGGGGCUAAUACCGGAUAGGAGCUCCUGCUGCAUGGUGGGGGUUGGAAAGUUUCGGCGGUUGGGGAUGGACUCGCGGCUUAUCAGCUUGUUGGUGGGGUAGUGGCUUACCAAGGCUUUGACGGGUAGCCGGCCUGAGAGGGUGACCGGCCACAUUGGGACUGAGAUACGGCCCAGACUCCUACGGGAGGCAGCAGUGGGGAAUAUUGCACAAUGGGCGGAAGCCUGAUGCAGCAACGCCGCGUGCGGGAUGACGGCCUUCGGGUUGUAAACCGCUUUCGCCUGUGACGAAGCGUGAGUGACGGUAAUGGGUAAAGAAGCACCGGCUAACUACGUGCCAGCAGCCGCGGUGAUACGUAGGGUGCGAGCGUUGUCCGGAUUUAUUGGGCAUAAAGGGCUCGUAGGUGGUUGAUCGCGUCGGAAGUGUAAUCUUGGGGCUUAACCCUGAGCGUGCUUUCGAUACGGGUUGACUUGAGGAAGGUAGGGGAGAAUGGAAUUCCUGGUGGAGCGGUGGAAUGCGCAGAUAUCAGGAGGAACACCAGUGGCGAAGGCGGUUCUCUGGGCCUUUCCUGACGCUGAGGAGCGAAAGCGUGGGGAGCGAACAGGCUUAGAUACCCUGGUAGUCCACGCUGUAAACGGUGGGUACUAGGUGUGGGGUCCAUUCCACGGGUUCCGUGCCGUAGCUAACGCUUUAAGUACCCCGCCUGGGGAGUACGGCCGCAAGGCUAAAACUCAAAGGAAUUGACGGGGCCCCGCACAAGCGGCGGAGCAUGCGGAUUAAUUCGAUGCAACGCGUAGAACCUUACCUGGGUUUGACAUGGAUCGGGAGUGCUCAGAGAUGGGUGUGCCUCUUUUGGGGUCGGUUCACAGGUGGUGCAUGCCUGUCGUCAGCUCGUGUCGUGAGAUGUUGGGUUAAGUCCCGCAACGAGCGCAACCCUUGUUCACUGUUGCCAGCACGUUAUGGUGGGGACUCAGUGGAGACCGCCGGGGUCAACUCGGAGGAAGGUGGGGAUGACGUCAAGUCCUCAUGCCCCUUAUGUCCAGGGCUUCACGCAUGCUACAAUGGCUGGUACAGAGAGUGGCGAGCCUGUGAGGGUGAGCGAAUCUCGGAAAGCCGGUCUCAGUUCGGAUUGGGGUCUGCAACUCGACCUCAUGAAGUCGGAGUCGCUAGUAAUCGCAGAUCAGCAACGCUGCGGUGAAUACGUUCCCGGGGCU
Molecule: ribosomal RNA, 1346 nt
Filed under: uncultured bacterium
Lineage: Bacteria
Description: bacterial SSU rRNA
Rfam family: Bacterial small subunit ribosomal RNA
Source: RNAcentral